RNAcentral lists this ribosomal RNA (253 nucleotides) under uncultured bacterium. Its description in RNAcentral is "partial 16S ribosomal RNA". It matches the Rfam family "Bacterial small subunit ribosomal RNA", at positions 524 to 776 of the family's 1533-position model. The record is from RNAcentral.
UACGUAGGGGGCAAGCGUUGUCCGGAAUCAUUGGGCGUAAAGCGCGUGUAGGCGGCUCGGUAAGUCUGUUCUGAAAGUCCAGGGCUCAACCCUGGGAUGCGGAUGGAUACUGCCGAGCUCGAGUCCGGAAGAGGCGAGUGGAAUUCCUGGUGUAGCGGUGAAAUGCGCAGAUAUCAGGAGGAACACCAAUGGCGAAGGCAGCUCGCUGGGACGGUACUGACGCUGAGACGCGAAAGCGUGGGGAGCAAACAGG